RNAcentral lists this ribosomal RNA (580 nucleotides) under uncultured bacterium. RNAcentral's name for it is "partial 16S ribosomal RNA". It matches the Rfam family "Bacterial small subunit ribosomal RNA", at positions 355 to 932 of the family's 1533-position model. The record is from RNAcentral.
UGGGGAAUUUUGGACAAUGGGCGAAAGCCUGAUCCAGCAAUGCCGCGUGUGUGAAGAAGGCCUUCGGGUUGUAAAGCACUUUUGUCCGGAAAGAAAUCCUUGGCUCUAAUACAGUCGGGGGAUGACGGUACCGGAAGAAUAAGCACCGGCUAACUACGUGCCAGCAGCCGCGGUAAUACGUAGGGUGCAAGCGUUAAUCGGAAUUACUGGGCGUAAAGCGUGCGCAGGCGGUUUGCUAAGACCGAUGUGAAAUCCCCGGGCUCAACCUGGGAACUGCAUUGGUGACUGGCAGGCUAGAGUAUGGCAGAGGGGGGUAGAAUUCCACGUGUAGCAGUGAAAUGCGUAGAGAUGUGGAGGAAUACCGAUGGCGAAGGCAGCCCCCUGGGCCAAUACUGACGCUCAUGCACGAAAGCGUGGGGAGCAAACAGGAUUAGAUACCCCUGGUAGUCCACGCCCUAAACGAUGUCAACUAGUUGUUGGGGAUUCAUUUCCUUAGUAACGUAGCUAACGCGUGAAGUUAACCGCCUGGGGAGUACGGUCGCAAGAUUAAAACUCAAAUGAAUUGACGGGGUCAUAGCUG